This 390-nucleotide ribosomal RNA is filed under the name uncultured bacterium. RNAcentral's name for it is "bacterial SSU rRNA". It matches the Rfam family "Bacterial small subunit ribosomal RNA", at positions 524 to 916 of the family's 1533-position model. The record is from RNAcentral.
UACGAAGGUGGCAAGCGUUGUUCGGAUUUACUGGGCGUACAGGGAGCGUAGGCGGUUGGGUAAGCCCUCCGUGAAUUCUCCGGGCCUAACCCGGAAAGGGCGGAGGGGACUGCUCGGCUAGAGGAUGGGAGAGGAGCGCGGAAUUCCCGGUGUAGCGGUGAAAUGCGUAGAGAUCGGGAGGACGGCCGGUGGCGAAGGCGGCGCUCUGGAACAUUUCUGACGCUGAGGCUAGAAAGCGUGGGGAGCAAACAGGAUUAGAUACCCUGGUAGUCCACGCAUUAAACGAUGGAUACUAAGUGUCGGCGGGUUACCGCCGGUGCCGCAGCUAACGCAUUAAGUAUCUCGCCUGGGAAGUACGGCCGCAAGGUUGAAACUUAAAUGAAUUGACGG